This 433-nucleotide ribosomal RNA is filed under the name uncultured bacterium. RNAcentral's name for it is "partial 16S ribosomal RNA". It matches the Rfam family "Bacterial small subunit ribosomal RNA", at positions 29 to 507 of the family's 1533-position model. The record is from RNAcentral.
AACGAACGCUGGCGGCAUGCCUAACACAUGCAAGUCGAACGAGACCUUCGGGUCUAGUGGCGCACGGGUGCGUAACGCGUGGGAACCUGCCCUUAGGUUCGGAAUAACUCCCCGAAAGGGGUGCUAAUACCGGAUAAUGUCUUCGGACCAAAGAUUUAUCGCCUUUGGAUGGGCCCGCGUUGGAUUAGCUAGUUGGUAGGGUAAAAGCCUACCAAGGCGACGAUCCAUAGCUGGUCUGAGAGGAUGAUCAGCCACACUGGGACUGAGACACGGCCCAGACCCCUAAGGGAGGGAGGAGGGGGGAAAAUUGGAAAAUGGGGCAAAGGCCGACCCAGCCAGGCCGGGGGAGUGAAGAAAGGCUUUGGGGUGGAAAGCCUUUUUUCCCCGGAAGAGAAAGAAAGGUACGGGAGAAAAAGCCCCGGCUAAACCCGGG